This 253-nucleotide ribosomal RNA is filed under the name uncultured bacterium. RNAcentral describes it as "partial 16S ribosomal RNA". It matches the Rfam family "Bacterial small subunit ribosomal RNA", at positions 524 to 776 of the family's 1533-position model. The record is from RNAcentral.
UACAGAGGGGGCAAGCGUUGUUCGGAAUUACUGGGCGUAAAGGGCGCGUAGGCGGCCUUCUAAGUCAGACGUGAAAUCCCUCGGCUCAACCGGGGAACUGCGUCUGAGACUGGAAGGCUUGAAUCCGGGAGAGGGAUGUGGAAUUCCAGGUGUAGCGGUGAAAUGCGUAGAUAUCUGUUAGAACACCAAUGGCGAAGGCAGUUGCCUGGCCCGUUACUGACGCUAAAGCACGAAAGUGUGGGUAGCAAACAGG